GACUCUCGGCAAUGGAUAUCUUGGCUCUCGCAUCAAUGAAGAACGUAGCAAAAUGCGAUACUUGGUGUGAAUUGCAGAAUCCCGUGAACCAUCGAGUCUUUGAACGCAAGUUGCGCCCCAACCCUUCUGGCCGAGGGCACGUCUGCUUGGGUGUCA
Molecule: ribosomal RNA, 156 nt
Filed under: Brassica napus (rape)
Lineage: Eukaryota; Viridiplantae; Streptophyta; Magnoliopsida; Brassicales; Brassicaceae
Description: rRNA 5_8S_rRNA
Rfam family: 5.8S ribosomal RNA
About the family: 5.8S ribosomal RNA (5.8S rRNA) is a component of the large subunit of the eukaryotic ribosome. It is transcribed by RNA polymerase I as part of the 45S precursor that also contains 18S and 28S rRNA. Functionally, it is thought that 5.8S rRNA may be involved in ribosome translocation.
Source: RNAcentral